This 69-nucleotide transfer RNA is filed under the name Astrohamma tuberculatum. RNAcentral's name for it is "tRNA-Phe". The record is from RNAcentral. Lineage: Eukaryota; Metazoa; Echinodermata; Ophiuroidea; Euryalida; Gorgonocephalidae.
GUUAAGAUAGUUAAAAUUAAUAACAAAACUUUGAAGAAGUUUUAUUGAAGGUUUAUCUUUCUCAUGACA